GGAAAUUACAAUAUCAAAAUCUUAAUUCUAAUAGAAUACUAAUAAUGCUCUAAUUAGAUCAUAAUAAUGCUAAGCAAGAUUAAUCAAAUUAAAAAAAAAAAACUCAAAGAAAUUUGAAACAAACAAUAAGAAUUCUUAAAGAAAUAUUAGAAGGAUCACAAAUAUCACUCAAAUACAUCUCAAUUCAAUCUUAAUUUAAUUCUAGUUAAAAUCCUAUUGAACUUCAUUCAAAAUUUAGGCCAAAACUAAUUGAAUCUUAAAUCCUAAUAAAAUCCUAAACCCUAAACAAACCUUAAACCAAACCCUAAUCCAAACCCUAAAUCCUAAACCAAAUCC
Molecule: long non-coding RNA, 336 nt
Filed under: Physcomitrium patens
Lineage: Eukaryota; Viridiplantae; Streptophyta; Bryopsida; Funariales; Funariaceae
Description: long non-coding RNA (PPAT_LNC002720)
Source: RNAcentral